This is a non-coding RNA of Podarcis lilfordi (Lilford's wall lizard), 81 nucleotides long. NCBI's taxonomy places the organism in Eukaryota, Metazoa, Chordata, Lepidosauria, Squamata, Lacertidae. The record is from the annotation of a GenBank genome assembly.
GCAUUUCUUGGGUUGUGCUCAGCUCUAGGAAGAGCAUGAGACUCUAUCUCAGGGCUGUGGGUUCAGGCCCCACAUUGGGCA